This is a long non-coding RNA of Cannabis sativa, 2504 nucleotides long. RefSeq lists it as uncharacterized. The transcript is spliced from 3 exons. The record is from RefSeq and is a predicted model, not a curated record. Lineage: Eukaryota; Viridiplantae; Streptophyta; Magnoliopsida; Rosales; Cannabaceae.
AGCGAUAUUUAGCGAUGUAUUUGCAAUGAUAAAACAAAUCUGAGGUCAGGGAUGAAGUUUAGUGAUGAUUUGCGAUAUUUAGCGAUAUUUCGCGAUGUUUCGCGAUGUUUAGCGAUGUUAUUCGCGAUGUGUUUCGUGAUAUAGUGAAUUGAAGACAUUUAGAGAUGUUUUCACUAUUUCGCGAUGUUUCGCGACGUUUCGCGACAUCUAGCGAUGUUUCGCGACAUCGUCAAAAAUCAAAAAAAAAAUGUAGAAAACAAGCGAUGUUGUGAAUUAAAGAAAUUUAGAGAUGUUUCAUGAUUUCGCGAUGUUUCGCGACAUUUAGCGAUGUUUCGCGACAUCGUCGAAAACCAGAAAAAAAAAAUGCAGAAAACAAGCAAAUGGGUUUCGCCGGAUAUGGUGCGGUGGUCUCGUGGGUGGUCCGGUGGGGUUUUGUUGGGAAUGGGUUUGGAGAGUUAGAGAAAGAGAGAGAAACGAGAGAGUUAGAGGGAGAGUGGGGGUUUGAAAUGAGGAGGGUAUUGUUGGGAUUAAAGAUGUUUGGAGUGUAUUAUUUUUACAUUUUUUUAAGAAGCAUGUAAAAACAAUUUAUACUUUUUUUAAGUAUAUAAUGUCAAAUUUCCCUUAUCAAAUGCAUAUAAAUUUAUAUUUUAAAAAAAAUUAAAAAUAUAGAAAAAAAUAAAAUAUUAUAUAAAAUAAGUUUUUACAUAUUUGUGAUUAUAAUAAACUAGAUUAUAACAUUAUCAUUAUCAUUAUAAUAGAUCUUAACAACUCACAGUACUUUAAAAUUUAUAAUUUACUAAACACUCAGCUCAGCUUUUUUCUAUAGUUUUGCUACAGCUGCUUUUUCUCACAGCACAACUACAUCUGCUUUUUUUCACAGCACAGCUGUGUCAAACUGGCCCUAAGAAGGCUCAAGCUGCUAAGGCCUUUUCUAAGUCCAAGGAUAAGGCAGUCUCAGGAGCUAAGAGGACUGCUUUCACUUUUCACUCUAUUUUAAUUGGUGAUUCAAUUAGGAAUAUCCUGAAAAGAGUCGUGCUAGUUCUAAUGUUGUUGGUUCUUCAUCUACUGAUAACAACUCUUUUGUACAGGCGGGUGUGGUUGAGCAACUCUGCCCAGAAAAAUGAAUCUUUUAAGUUGGAAUGCUUGUGAGUUAGGGAGUCCCCGAGCAUUCCAUAACCUUUCCCUUGUUGUAAAUAGAAAUAAUCCGAAGUUUCUUUUUAUUAUGGAAUCUAAGCUCUUGUCUGGUAGUUGUGAUAGUCUUAGAGCUAGAUUUUCUUUUGAUCAAGGUUUUGAAGUUCAUAGGAAGGGUCUUGAGGGAGGUCUCUGACUGUUUUGGAAACAAGUGGUUAAUGUUAAUAUUUUAAAUUUAUCCUCCAAUCAUAUUGUCUGUUUUGUAACUUUCAAUGAUAAUAUUGAUGGUGAUCAUGUUUUAUGUUUUUAUGGUUCCCAUUCAAAUGACAAAGUUCAUACUUGGAAAUUAUUAGAUAGACUUUAUGAUAAGCAUCUCUUUUACCUUGGCUAAUUAUUAGUGGUUUUAAUGAUUAUCUUUCUAUUAAUGAUAGGCAUAGUAAAUUUAGUCUGCCUCUGUAAAGACUCGGUUUGACCGAGUCAAAUAUUUUAUAUAUAUAAAAUAAUAAAUAAAUAAUACAUAUGUAAAAAAAAAAAAUUAUUAUAUGUAAUAAAAAAAACUAAACCCUUCGUCCCCCUCUCUCUCUAUCUAUAUUUCUCUCUUUCUCUCUCUUUAAAAUACAAAAAUAAAACCCAUAAACCUCCAUAACCACCUCACUCUGGCGACCUAUCUCUGGCCACCGCCCGACCUCACGCGCCGGACUACUCAGACCUCCUAGUGCCGGCGACCUCACCCCCCAAGCGGCGCCGCUUCUCUCGCCGCCGUUAGCUUAGGAUCGCAAGUCAAAGUUUGGGGUUUCAAACUUUGAACGGGUUUUUCGGUCACCUCCGGCGUCCGUUUGAUGAGAGGUUUUCACCACUACACUCAGCUCGUCGAGGAGAACAACCUACACUAAAACAUUUUUCCCGGUUCACUACUUUUUCCGGUGACAUUUUUGUAGCUCCGCCCCUUUCUGGCGACUUUCCGGUGACAUCGUGCACGGAUUUGACAAACGGUUGGCAUGAGUGUGAUCUACUCGUCGAGGUGGUCGUUUUGAUAUAUACUACUCCUAUUUUCGGCGACAUUUCCGGUACACCAAUUUUUACCGCCACCGAUUGUUAAUGUGCACCGCUUAGGUGAGAGUAAUAUGUAAGUUUGGACUAAACAAUUGGAGCUCGGGACUUGAGAGCUUAAGAUCGUCUUUUGGAAAAAAGUUUAACGACUCGGGAGAGGAACUCAGUUUGAUGCUAGUGGAUGAGGAUGGUACCGUUGGGAAAGGAAUGUCGUUAUUAGUUUAGUCAUAUUUUACUCUUUCACCUUCUAAUGAGACUGAUUUUGUAUUUAAGAACCAAUGGAUGGUCUGGAUGACUUAAAUUAGCUAUGUACUAGUUAGAAA